This 253-nucleotide ribosomal RNA is filed under the name uncultured bacterium. RNAcentral describes it as "partial 16S ribosomal RNA". It matches the Rfam family "Bacterial small subunit ribosomal RNA", at positions 524 to 776 of the family's 1533-position model. The record is from RNAcentral.
GACGAGGGGUCCAAGCGUGGUUCGGAAUCAUUGGGCGUAAAGCGGGUGUAGGCGGCUCUAUAAGUCAGGAGUGAAAUCCCCGAGCUUAACUUGGGAAGUGCAUUUGAUACUGCAGAGCUUGAAUGUGGGAGAGGUUAGUGGAAUUCCAAGUGUAGUGGUGAAAUACGUAGAUAUUUGGAGGAACACCGGUGGCGAAGGCGGCUAACUGGCCCAACAUUGACGCUGAGACCCGAAAGCAUGGGGAUCAAACAGG